AAGUCGUAACAAGGUCUCCGUAGGUGAACCUGCGGAGGGAUCAUUACUGAGUGAGGGGCCCCCCGGCCCGACCUCCAACCCUUUGUAAACCGACCCUUUGCUCGGGACGGUCCGCGUCUUCGGUCGGCCGGGCCCCGGGUCCGGAGCCCCAACCCACUCUGCGUCUUUGCGUCUGAGUCUUGAAUGAUAAAUCAAUUAAAA
This 201-nucleotide unclassified non-coding RNA is filed under the name plant metagenome. Its description in RNAcentral is "partial contains small subunit ribosomal RNA and internal transcribed spacer 1". The stretch from base 1 to 46 matches the Rfam family "Eukaryotic small subunit ribosomal RNA", at positions 1786 to 1831 of the family's 1831-position model. The record is from RNAcentral.